RNAcentral lists this ribosomal RNA (406 nucleotides) under uncultured bacterium. RNAcentral describes it as "partial 16S ribosomal RNA". It matches the Rfam family "Bacterial small subunit ribosomal RNA", at positions 30 to 526 of the family's 1533-position model. The record is from RNAcentral.
AUUGAACGCUGGCGGCAGGCCUAACACAUGCAAGUCGAACGAGUGGCGGACGGGUGAGUAAUGUCUGGGACACUGCCUGAUGGAGGGGGCUCACUUCUGGAAACGGUAGCUAAUCCCGCAUACCAUCGGAUGUGCCCAGAUGGGAUUAGCUAGUAGGUGGGGUAAAGGCUCCCCUAGGCGACGAUCCCUAGCUGGUCGUAGAGGAUGACCAGCCACACUGGGACUGAGACACGGUUCAGACUUCUACGGGAGGCAGCAGGUGGGAAUAUUGCUCAAUGGGCGCAAGCCGGAUGCAGCCAUUCCGGGGGUAUGAAGAAGGCCUUCGGGUUUGAAAGUACUUUCAGCGGGGAGGCGUUACCCGCAGAAGAAGCACCGGCUAACUCCGUGCCAGCAGCCGCGGUAAUAC